GCACCCGUAGCUCAGCUGGAUAGAGCAUCUGAUUGCGGUUCAGAAGGCCAGAGGUUCGAAUCCUCUCGGGUGCGCCA
This 77-nucleotide transfer RNA is filed under the name Deltaproteobacteria bacterium. Its description in RNAcentral is "tRNA-Arg". It matches the Rfam family "tRNA". From Rfam's summary of the family: Transfer RNA (tRNA) molecules are approximately 80 nucleotides in length. The record is from RNAcentral. Lineage: Bacteria; Pseudomonadati; Myxococcota; Myxococcia.